CCGAUUCAAAGAGCCGACUCAAAGAUCCGAUUCGUCCGUGAGGCGACACGUUUUUCUUCACCAGAGAAAACACCGAGUGAAUUUCUGAGUGAUGUGAUGCACCUCAACCCUGUAACUAUAGUACACACUACUUCAUCUAGCAACCAAUCGGGUUAUCAUAGCAACCACCUGCCAUGCCCUUAUUGAUCUUUAUUCUGCACCAUGUGGGGUCAUCCUCAUCAACAGUGAGUGAUUUCCACUGAUGAGAACUCCAACCAGAAGUAGGUCAUCGGGAUGGAUCAGGUAGGUCUGGAGAGCAGAAGGGGUCAGGAUCACUGGUAUCUCAGGAGUAUCAUGUGUAACUUGACAGAAAGAGAGAGAGAGAUUAUUAGGUAUGCUUAUUGUCCUGUAAUGGUUCAGGACAAUGUACUUUGUGUGAGUGAAAGCAGGGACUCCGACAAGACUAGCUAUGACAUCAUAACUAAAAGAUAGAACCAGAAGGUAACACAGACAUGAGGGCUUCCUGGGACAUAAGACGACCAGCCACUCCACCAUCAAAAAACCUGGGUGAAUGUUCACCACAACACUCUAUACCUGUUCACUCAGGUACUACUAUUCAGAGCUUUAAAGGUCAAUAGUAAUAUUUUAUAAUCAAUGCAAGAUUUCACUGGGAGCCAGUGCAGUGUGGAUAAGAUCGGGGUGAUGUUGUAUCUUCUGGUUCUAGUUAGGACUCUAGCAGCUGCAUUCUGGACUAACUGGAGCUUGUUUAUGCUCCUACUGGAACAUCCAGACAGUAAGGCAUUACAGUAAUCUAGUCUAGAGGUGACGAACGCAUGAACUAAUAUUUCUGCAUCAUGUAGUGACAAUAUAUUUCUUAUCUUAGAAAUAUUUCUGAGAUAAAAGAAGACUAUCCUAGUAAUAUUAUCUACAUGAGCAUCAGAUGAUAGACUGGAGUUAAGAAUCACUCCAAGCUCUUUCACUGCUGCACACAGGGUGUCCAUGGGUCCUUAAAAAGUCUUAAAUUCAUAUUUUAAAGGUCUUAAAAAUGCAGUGGAACCGACACGGUAAAGCAGAUGUAGAUGUUAUUUUGGCGGGUUGCAGUGUGUGAUGGUAAAGCCGUGUGACUGUGUUGCAUCCGUAGUGUGUGUGCGGCUAGUCAUUAGAGCCUCUCGGUUCGCGGUAAACGCCGCUCUACACCAACUUCAUCUCUGUGAAGUUUGAGUCGCUUUUAACCUGCAUUUAGACACAACACUCGCCAGAUUCAAAAAAGGAUAUUUGCUCUAUAGUUUACUUAAACCCUGACAUGGAUGUAUCUACAUGAACACAAUCCAUUAUAGCUGGUGUAUCGUGUAGCAUGAUUGAAGUGACGUGCAGGUCUUACAUUUUUUUGGAAAUGUCUUGAAUAAUGUAUUAAGAAGUAUUAAAUUAUGAAAUUAUUUUUUAAAAAUCUUGAGUGCCAUUAGUAAAUAAUGUGUUCGUCUUCCUUUCUCAUAUACACAUGUAACCCUCUUCGUCGCUGUUCUCCCCCCAACGUCUCUGUGUUGAGUUGAUGUGAGAGGUGAAUGAGGAGAACACCAAGAUCACAGUUGAGUCAAAGCAGAGCAGCUUUCAUUGUUUUAGGCUCUUUAUCCACAUCAGCCUCUGUGCAGCAAACAUCAACAUCUCCCACAAGCAUCUCAGAACUGCGACAGCGUCCCGCAAGAAACCCAACUGUACCACAAGGACACAGAACUGUGUUAGUUACCAAUCAACAUCCAAAUAACAACGCAUACAGAAUUAUACAAGGAAAUAAUGUAGUUAAAUUAACACUAAUCACAUGACCAACAGAAAAAUAGACCUGAACAUAUGACAAAUAAAGAUCAAUGUCAGAUGUACCCAAAUAAACCUCCAGGGUUCCCACGGGUCGUGGAAUUUCUGGAAUGUAAUGGAAAUUUAAUAAAGUCUAUUCCAGUCACGGAAAGUCAGGGAAUUAUCAUUCUGGGGUUGAAGUCAGGGAAUUUUGUUUGUAAUUUUUUUUUAAUGUAUCAGCUAAAAUGUGAUCCUAUAGAAUCUAUAUUCUAUAGAGAGAGAAAAUUUGUUUGUUUGUUUUACACAGUGUGCUCAUUUGCUGAAUGUGACAGUGUUAUUGGAUAAAAAUGUAAUUAAAAUGGCUUACAGUA
Ictalurus punctatus (channel catfish) is the source of this 2138-nucleotide long non-coding RNA. RefSeq lists it as uncharacterized. Lineage: Eukaryota; Metazoa; Chordata; Actinopteri; Siluriformes; Ictaluridae. The record is from RefSeq and is a predicted model, not a curated record. The transcript is spliced from 2 exons.